This 236-nucleotide ribosomal RNA is filed under the name uncultured bacterium. RNAcentral's name for it is "partial 16S ribosomal RNA". It matches the Rfam family "Bacterial small subunit ribosomal RNA", at positions 15 to 245 of the family's 1533-position model. The record is from RNAcentral.
GAUCAUGGCUCAGGAUGAACGCUAGCUACAGGCUUAACACAUGCAAGUCGAGGGGCAGCAUUUUUAUAGCAAUAUAAAAGAUGGCGACCGGCGCACGGGUGAGUAACACGUAUCCAACCUGCCGAUAACUCGGGGAUAGCCUUUCGAAAGAAAGAUUAAUACCCGAUGGCAUAAUUAGACUGCAUGGUCUUAUUAUUAAAGAAUUUCGGUUAUCGAUGGGGAUGCGUUCCAUUAGG